GAUCCUGCGCCGAAAAUGAACGGGGCUAAGCGUUAUACCGAAGCUGCGGAUAAAUUUAUUUAUGGUAGGGGAGCGUUCUAUGUAGGGUGAAGCGUUAGCGUAAGCGGACGUGGACAGCAUAGAAGUGAGAAUGUCGGCUUGAGUAGCGAAAACAUGGGUGAGAAUCCCAUGCCCCGAAACCCUAAGGGUUCCUCCGGCAGGCUCGUCCGCGGAGGGUUAGUCUGGACCUAAGGCGAGGCCGAAAGGCGUAGUCGAUGGAUAACAGGUCAAUAUUCCUGUACCAGUUGUGUUUUGGGAAGGGGGACGGAGAAGGCUAGCCAGGCCAGAUGUUGGUUACUGGUUCAAGCGUUCAAGGCUUUGAGAGAUGGAGAAAACAUCUUGAGCUAAGGCGUGAGUACGAGCUGCUACGGCAGCGAAGUUGGUGAUGUCAUACUUCCAAGAAAAGCCCUAUACCCGUUAAGACACAAAUGCCAGUACCCGAAACCGACACAGGUGGGGUGGUAGAGAAUACCGAGGGGCGCGAGAUAACUCUCUCUAAGGAACUCGGCAAAAUGGCCCCGUAACUUCGGGAGAAGGGGUGCCAGCGAGAGCUGGUCGCAGUGAAGAGGCGCAAGCGACUGUUUACCAAAAACACAGGUCUCCGCUAAGUCGCAAGACGAUGUAUGGGGGCUGACACCUGCCCAGUGCCGGAAGGUUAAGGAAGCCGGUUAGCUUUUAGUGAAGCUGGCGACUGAAGCCCCGGUGAACGGCGGCCGUAACUAUAACGGUCCUAAGGUAGCGAAAUUCCUUGUCGGGUAAGUUCCGACCCGCACGAAAGGUGUAACGAUUUGCGCGCUGUCUCGGAGAGAGGCUCGGCGAAAUAGAAUUGUCUGUGAAGAUGCGGACUACAUACACCCGGACAGAAAGACCCUAUGAAGCUUUACUGUAGUUUGAUAUUGUGCUCGGGCUCUGAAUGCGCAGAAUAGGUGGGAGACGUUGAAAUAGUGCUUGUGGGUACUAUUGAGUCAUCGGUGAGAUACCACUCUUUUAGAGCUAGGGUUCUAACGCUUACCCGUUAUCCGGGAAGCGGACAGUAUCUGAUGGGCAGUUUGACUGGGGCGGUCGCCUCCUAAAAGGUAACGGAGGCGCACAAAGGUUCCCUCAGGCUGGUUGGAAAUCAGUCGUUGAGUGCAAAAGCAGAAGGGAGCUUGACUGUGAGACCUACAAGUCGAACAGGGACGAAAGUCGGUUUUAGUGAUCCGACGGUUCUGCGUGGAAGGGCCGUCGCUCAACGGAUAAAAGUUACUCUAGGGAUAACAGGCUGAUCUCCCCCAAGAGUUCACAUCGACGGGGAGGUUUGGCACCUCGAUGUCGGCUCAUCGCAACCUGGGGCUGAAGUCGGUCCCAAGGGUUGGGCUGUUCGCCCAUUAAAGCGGUACGCGAGCUGGGUUCAGAACGUCGUGAGACAGUUCGGUCCAUAUCCGGUGUAUGCGCAGGAAUAUUGAGAGGAUUUCUCCCUAGUACGAGAGGACCGGGAGGAACGCACCUCUGGUGUGCCAGUUAUCGUGCCAACGGUAAACGCUGGGUAGCCAUGUGCGGAGUGGAUAACCGCUGAAAGCAUCUAAGUGGGAAGCCCACCUCAAGAUGAGUAUUGCCAUGGCUUAAGCCAGUAAGGUCACGGGAAGAACACCCGUUGAUAGGCUCUACGUGGAAGCUUGGUAACAAGUGCAGCGGAGGAGUACUAAUAGACCGAGGGCUUGACCAA
This 1744-nucleotide ribosomal RNA is filed under the name Prochlorococcus marinus CUG1432. RNAcentral's name for it is "partial 23S ribosomal RNA". It matches the Rfam family "Bacterial large subunit ribosomal RNA", at positions 1155 to 2925 of the family's 2925-position model. The record is from RNAcentral. Lineage: Bacteria; Bacillati; Cyanobacteriota; Cyanophyceae; Synechococcales; Prochlorococcaceae.